Camellia sinensis is the source of this 349-nucleotide non-coding RNA. The record is from RefSeq and is a predicted model, not a curated record. Lineage: Eukaryota; Viridiplantae; Streptophyta; Magnoliopsida; Ericales; Theaceae.
AGUUUUUGGGAUUAUGGCUUGUAUGGAGGCUAGUGGUCUUAAUUCUUUGAUCGUGCUCAGUGAUUACAGAACACUGCACUGUCCAGGAGGAUAUGAGAAGAUGGAGAAAUGAUCAAGUUGUGAUAUAAAACUGCAGUCUUUGCACUUUAUCAAUCUUGUUGUCAGCUACUACUUAGCAGCAAAUUGACGCAUAGCCAAGUGCCAUUCACAAGAAGCAAAAAAUAAGAAAAGAGAUUUGUUUGGUAAUUUGCAGUGAUUAAUGUCAAUGUUAAUGCAAAUUUGGUUGUAGUGCAAGUAUGUUUAUUGCCACAGACUGAUUUAGUUUUAACCAUUCAUGUGAUUCUUUUUA